Molecule: long non-coding RNA, 2442 nt
Organism: Acanthochromis polyacanthus (spiny chromis)
Lineage: Eukaryota; Metazoa; Chordata; Actinopteri; Pomacentridae
Exons: 4
Source: RefSeq, a predicted model, not a curated record
UUCUGUUCUUGUGUGAGGUCAAAAUGUCACCAGCAACUGAUGGAUUCUUUGUAAUUCUUUUUAGAAUAUCGGUAAAGUACUACAUAAAACUGUCAUGCUCCGCCUGUUUCAGAGAUCCGGCUCAUCAAAGUGAACUACGAACGGCUGUGCGGGUGCACACCUGACGCGAGUCGAGUUUCUAUCAGAGAAUGCAUCCAUCAAAGCUUGCUGUUUUUAGUGCAUGUUCACGGAAGUCACUACAGGAGCAAGGAACCAAAAGUAAACAGAGCAAGCUCCCAGACAACCAGGCCAAACUUGCAGUGGGUGGUGCCAUCUGUGUGUCUCAAGGGACAGUUGACCGGUUCCUCAUCAGGCUUAUUUGUGAAGGUCACCACCCCUUCUCUUUGGUGGAACAGCCAGCAUUUAAAGAGUUUGCUGCUGCACUCAAUCCUCAAUACAAAAUGCUCUCCAGACCCACAGUUAAGAGCAGAAUUGCUGAAGCUACUGCUGAUAUGAAGACCAAGUUGACAGCACACCUCAGUAACAUAAAUCAUGUUGCAACCACCACAGAUUGUUGGUCUGCUCACCAAAAAAGCUCCAUCGGGGUCACAUGCCAUUGGAUUGAUGGGGAGACCUUCGAGAGAAGAUCUGUCGUGUUGGCAUGCAAGCGGCUAAAAGGCUCACACACCUUUGAUGUGCUUGCCGGUGUCCUGGAUGACAUCCACUGCCAAUACCGAAUUCGAGGUAAAGUGGUUAGAACCACUACAGAUAGUGGCUCCAAUUUUGUCAAGGUCCUUCGCUGUAUUUGGUGAGAGCCAGUCAGAGGAUGAGGAUGCCGGGUCAGACACAGACCAAGAAGGUCCAGAAUUGGAUGAUGACGUUGAGUUUCAAGACACAUUAGGCAUCCUUGAAUAGGACAACGGCCUUGAGUACCAGCUCCCCAAACAUCAGAGAUGUGCAUGCCACCUGCUGAACUUAGUUGCCACGACAGAUUCUGACCUUGCUGAAAAGAACAACACCUACAAGAGGCUUUCACCUGCCGCCUUUGGGAAAUGCCAAGCUCUGUGGAAUAAGUCAGGUCGCUCGCACACUGCAGCAGAAGUUGUGGAAGAUAAAUGUGGCCUUCAGCUCAUUCGACCCAACAAGACACGGUGGAAUUCAACAUACAUGGCUGUGGAGAGAAUCCUACGCAUCAUAAAAGAACAAGGGGAGGAUGCCAUUAGGCAUGUCUGCGAAGAACUGAAAGUGAAAAUGUUGAGUCAAGCAGAAAUUGCUUUUCUGGAUGAAUUCUGCUGUGUGAUGAAACCAGUGGCAAAGGCCUUGAAUAUUCUUCAGUCAGAAACCAACACACACCUUGGGUGGCUGCUCCCAGUGAUCUCUGAAUUGCAGUCCAAACUUACAAGGCAGGAAACGUCGGUCAAGAUGUGCCUCCCUCUCAUCUCGGCACUACAGCAAGGGGUCCAGGAGCGCUUCAGAGUCAUGAUGGAGGACCGAGAGCUUAUCUCAGCAGCAAUCCUCCUACCCAAAUUUAAGACGGGCUGGACUGACAAAGCUGAAGUCAUUGAAGCAGGACUUCUUUAUGUGAGGCAUCACCUUGACCAGAUGGCAGAUGCUGAGGUGGAGCAGGGCGCACUCAGGCAGCAUUCAUCAGACGAAGAGGACUACUUCUCCACGAUGAAGUCCCGCAGGUCAGAGGGUUCUGGGGAAUUGGAGGGUUACCUUGCCUGUGUUUCAGACAGCAUGGACCUGCUGAACUCGUUUCAAAACAUUAAGAAACUGUCUUUGAAACUCAACACAGGCCUUCCCGCCUCAGCCGCCUGUGAGAGACUAUUUAGUUCUGCCGGGUUGCUCUUCACAGCAAAGAGAGCAAGACUUACAGCCAAAAACUUUGAAAAUCAGCUGCUGCUGAAACUAAACACAAGCUUUACUGGUCUGAAAUUGUAGAUUGUGGAUUGUAGUCGGAUCCUGUGUGCAUUUUAUUUUGAAUAGUUGGAUCCUGUGUAGGUUGCUCAGUGGAGUAGUGGUUAGCACUUUCGCCUUGCAGUAAGAAGAUCCCUGGUUUGAAUCCCGGGGUGGGCCUGGGAUCUUUCUGCAUGGAGUUUGCAUGUUCUCCCUGAGCAUGAGUGGGUUUUCUCCGGGCACUCCGGCUUCCUCCCACAGUCCAAAAAUAUGCUGAGGUUAAUUGAUGACUCUAAAUUGCCCGUAGGUCUGAAUGCGAGUGUGAUUGUCCGUAUACGUAGCCCUGUGACAGACUGGUGACCUGUCCAGGGUGUCCCCUGUCUUCACCCGAGUCAGCUGGGAUAGGCUCCAGCACCCCCCGCGACCCUAGUGAGGAUAAAGCGGUGUAUAGAGGAUGGAUCCUGUGUGCAUUUUAUUUUGAAUAGUUGGAUCCUCUGUGCAUUUUAUUUUGAUUUGUGGGAUCCCGUGGGCACUUUAUUGUGUUUUUUUUUUUUUUUUUUUUUU